AAUGAACGCUGGCGGCGCGCCUAAUACAUGCAAGUCGAGCGAGAAGACGUAGCAAUACGUUUGUAAAGCGGCGAACGGGUGAGGAAUACAUGGGUAACCUACCCUCGAGUGGGGAAGUAACUAGCCGAAAGGUUAGCUAAUACCGCGUACGCUCCUUGGACUUUGGUUUCAGGGAGGGAAAGACGAUACCGUGGGUAGUCGCGCUCUUGGCUGGGCGUCAUGUCCUAUCAGCUUGUUGGUGAGGUAACGGCUCACCAAGGCUUCGACGGGUAGGCUGGUCUGAGAGGACGGAUCAGCCACACUGG
RNAcentral lists this ribosomal RNA (305 nucleotides) under uncultured bacterium. Its description in RNAcentral is "bacterial SSU rRNA". It matches the Rfam family "Bacterial small subunit ribosomal RNA", at positions 29 to 316 of the family's 1533-position model. The record is from RNAcentral.